CCUACGGGUGGCAGCAGUGGGGAAUAUUGGACAAUGGGGGGAACCCUGAUCCAGCCAUGCCGCGUGUGUGAAGAAGGCCCUCGGGUUGUAAAGCACUUUCAGUGAGGAAGAACGCCUGGUGGUUAAUACCCAUCAGGAAAGACAUCACUCACAGAAGAAGCACCGGCUAACUCCGUGCCAGCAGCCGCGGUAAUACGGAGGGUGCGAGCGUUAAUCGGAAUUACUGGGCGUAAAGCGCGCGUAGGUGGCUUGAUAAGCCGGUUGUGAAAGCCCCGGGCUCAACCUGGGAACGGCAUCCGGAACUGUCAAGCUAGAGUGCAGGAGAGGAAGGUAGAAUUCCCGGUGUAGCGGUGAAAUGCGUAGAGAUCGGGAGGAAUACCAGUGGCGAAGGCGGCCUUGUGGACUGACACUGACACUGAGGUGCGAAAGCGUGGGUAGCAAACAGGAUUAGAUACCCGUGUAGUC
Molecule: ribosomal RNA, 465 nt
Filed under: Vreelandella stevensii
Lineage: Bacteria; Pseudomonadati; Pseudomonadota; Gammaproteobacteria; Oceanospirillales; Halomonadaceae
Description: partial 16S ribosomal RNA
Rfam family: Bacterial small subunit ribosomal RNA
Source: RNAcentral